UUUCCGUAGGUGAACCUGCGGAAGGAUCAUUCAUAAUAAAGUGUUUUAUGGCACUUUUUAAAAAUCCAUAUCCACCUUGUGUGCAAUGUUAGAUCUCGUCAAUCUUGGCGAGGCUUUUAUACAUCAACUCAUUCUUUAACUAAUUUGUCUGAAAAAUAUUAUGAAUACUUAAUUCAAAAUACAACUUUCAACAACGGAUCUCUUGGCUCUC
Molecule: unclassified non-coding RNA, 211 nt
Filed under: plant metagenome
Description: partial contains small subunit ribosomal RNA, internal transcribed spacer 1, and 5.8S ribosomal RNA
Source: RNAcentral